AGUCAGUCAGUCAGUCAGUCAGUCAGUCAGUCAGUCAGUCAGUCAUUAGAUAGAUGUUGGUUACUUCUUGUAACCUUUUUUAUUUAUGUUUACCGUUUUAAGAAAAACUAAUAAGUUUAACAGAAAAUCUAUUUCUUAGGGUGAUAAAAUAGUGCUGUUUAACAUAAUUACUUCAGAUAUGAGUUGUGGUCCUGUUUUUUACAAUUAUUCCCAGCAAUAGGUCUUGUAUGUUACACAAAGGAAAACUGUUGUGUAAACGCUCAAUUUUUCAUCUUUUUUCACCAAACUAUGCCAGGUUGAGAGCGUGUAAGUAACCUUAACAAGCUUUUAAUACCCGUUAUUAUCCCACGCAUUUGGUUAAAAAGUUACGAGGUGAAAUAAAACUUUGUAAGAUCUGCAUUAGGUUAGCUUUGAUCUCUGGUCAAAAUCGACUAUUAAAAUUUUUUGUUCAUGAAAUAGCACAAUAUUUUGUUAAUAAAACGACCAGCUUUUACUCAAACGCUUUGAUUUUUUGCAUGUUGUUUUCUGAAAUGUCAGAAAACAUAGUCCCAAAGUUUCGAGGCGCUGUCAUUAAUAGAUCUUAUUUUAUUUACGUUUUUUACGUAAAAAUUCAUGUUACAAAAAGGAACUGUUCCUUAAUGUAACCAAAAAAGUCCUUUUUGUAACUCGAAAAAAAAUUUACUCCUCCAUGAUGAGGCGUGAAGCCGUUAUUCUGGUAUGAUCAGUUUUUGGAUACUUCUAGAAAUUGACUAAUAUUAAAAUUGCACUCUCAACCCUCCAAAUUUGAAAGAAAAAGAACGUUUUAGAUUAAGACCUUUUUAUCAAUAUAGGUGAUUUCAAAUAAUUUCCUGUCACCGUUUUUGAAAUCAUUGUUAUAAUAUUUGUACCCCAUUCAACUCGCAUUUUGUUUAAAGAGAACGAACAUUUUUUUUCAUUUUCUUUAAUACACCCCUUUCCAAAAGAAUGGAAUGAAAUAUGGAGCAAAGAGCAAGAUUUCAAAGAAAGGCCUGGUGCGAGUUUAUUGGAAAUUCGUACCCAGGGCCAUUUUACUCGGUUGCUUGUUGUUUUGGGCCUUUUGGCCAUAGGCUUUCUUGGCAAUCUUGCGUCUAAGAACGUUCUGAACGUCUAGUCUUUUACGCUUUUACCAUCCAAAGAAAUCACCGUUUAUAAUUGAGGACAUCUGGUUGAGGAUUAUCACACACCGCUGUUGGUGUGUUUUUGUUUGAGGUAAGGUAAAUAUUUUUGCCUAAUUAUUAAUAUUCAUGACAGAAAUGAAGACCAAUUUAUACCAUGCUCUGUAUUUGCAUAUUAUUACUGUCUGUGAAACAAUGAUUAUAUUUUCUCACUUCAUUUGCACAUGCACUUUUAAAGCUAUAAAUGAGAUUUGUGGUUUAGACUUAGGUUGACAAAAGUUUCCGUGUGCUCAUUUUUCUUAUUUUAUAUUAUUAGAUUUAUACAUUUCUAUUUAUGUAUAGUCUUUAGACUUUACUGCUCAGUCAUUUAUAUAUAAGUGUUUUAAGUCAAUAUUGUUUAAAUUAAUACAGUAAUCUUCAAAUCUUGCUUUUAAAGUAUUUGUGUAUGUUACUACAUGUUUCAGUCAAAUAAUGUGGGUUUUAAUUUAGUUUUAUCCUUAAAAUUAUAAUUGAGUAGUUUGUUUGGGUAAAUACUAAUAGUAUUUACCCAAACAAACUACUCAAUAUUUUAAGUCUAAAACUAAAUGAAAACCCACACUAUUUGACUGAAACAUGUAGUAACAUGUUUGUUCCUUAUGUUAUUAAUAUUUGUGAGUUUUAGUUGAGCAUUGGAAUUAUUAGUUACUUGAAAGAUGUUAUUUGCACUUCACUUGGUUGAACCAAGUGAAUUAGUGUCAAUAACAUCUUUCAAGUUACCUUAGUUAUCAGGACCCAUGUACUCGAUUACCUAAUAUACAGCUAUUUCAAUUAAGGUUGUCCACGAGCAAAGUAGAAAAGUCGAAUACAGUACAAGCAUUCGACUUUUGCGCUUUGCUCGUACCGGUAGACAACCUUAAUUGAAAUACAGUAACUGUAUAUAUGAACUUGCGGUUACAGCUCAGCAAUUGGCUUCUGUAACUCGGCGAGUUAGAUUGCUGCACUGGAAUCGCAGGGUUGUCGGUUCGAUUCCUGCAAUCGUUCCUGGUUAGGCCUGGAAAAUAGUGCAUAUAAGGUAUAUAUACUCACUUGGAUUACAAUACAUGCCAUUUGUGUUAGCCGGUUAAUGGUUUCUUGUUAAGUUUUAGCUUUGAUUUACUGUUUUUAUCAUGUACUAUCAUUGUAAUUUAGUUUUUAUUGCAUACAUGUAUAUCUAAACAGUAAAUGUAUAUUUAAAUACAGCAUUUUCUUGGGCCAAUUUCAGAUCCACUUCAAUGAAAUUUGAAAAAUACUAAGUGUCAUCUACUUAUCGACAUCGGCUGCCAGCUAUUCAUCAUUAACAUUUCUCUAAACGUGAAAUUGGCCUGACAAAUGGCUGUGUGUAAACAUACCUUAAAAUUAAAUAAGUUUUCUUCAUACCAACACAGCAUGCUUGCAAUAUAAUGCAGUACUUUUUGGCUUUACAUGUAUUUGUUGUUAGUAUUUACCCAACCAAUUCACUCAAUAUUUUUAGUACAAAACUCAAUGAAAAUUUAUGUCACUGCUUGUGAACAGCCCCCACUAGUAUAUCAAGUCACUUGAUUUGAUUUGAUUUGAAACAUACAGUAUUUCGGGAUAUUUGUUACCAAUAGUACUGUAUGUUGGCAAAAUCUGGUGUGUUCAAUCUAACUUACUGCACAUAUAUACAGCCGAUAAAAGGUUUAUUCUUAAAUUUUAGCUUUAAACCGAUUUCAUCAUAUUUUCUCAAUGUAACUAUUUUUUACUGCACAUAUAUAAGUGUUCUUUAUUGAAAUAUGCUGUACUUGCUUCGUCCUGCAGUUUCUGUUGAUGCAAAUUCAGUCAUCUGUGACAAUGAUCUUUCCAGUUAAGGUGGCUCAAAUAUGUGUUUACCUGAGCAAAUUACUUAAUAUUUCCAUGAUAAAACUGAAUGAAAACUUAUUUCAUUGCUCUAAUACCAUAUCAAAUCAGUCAGUUUUGCUGAAAACAUGUUUCUACAUAUUGGAGACUUAAUAUUGGCAAAGUUUGGUGUAUACUGGUUAAGCCAAUAAUUAGUUACAUUGUGUUUUAUUAGCCGAUAAAAGUUUAUUUUUAAAUUUUAGCUUUUAAACUGUUUUCAUCAUGUUUUCUCAAAGUAACUUAUUUUUUACUGCACGUAUAUAAGUGUUCUUUAUUGAAAUACAGUUGCUUCGUCCUGCAGUUUCUGUUGAUGCAAAGUCAGUCAUCUGUGACAAGGAUCUUUUCAGUUAAGAUGGCUCAAAUAUGUGUUUACCUGAGCAAAUUACUUAAUAUUUCCAUGAUAAAACUGAAUGAAAACUUAUUUCAUUGCUCUAAUACCAUAUCAAAUCAGUCAGUUUUGUUGAAAACAUGUUUCUACAUAUUGGAGACUUGUAUUGGCAAAGUUUGCGGUAUACUGGUUAAGCCAAUAAUUAGUUACAUUGCGUUUUAUUAGCCGAUAAAAGGAUUAUUUUUAAAUUUUAGCUUUUAAACUGUUUUCAUCAUGUUUUCUCAAAGUAACUUAUUUUUUACUGCACGUAUAUAAGUGUUCUUUAUUGAACUACAGUUGCUUCGUCCUGCAGUUUCUGUUGAUGCAAAGUCAGUCAUCUGUGACAAGGAUCUUUUCAGUUAAGAUGGUUCAAAUAUGUGUUUACCUGAGCAAAUUACUUAAUAUUUCCAUGAUAAAACUGAAUGAAAACUUAUUUCAAUGCUCUAAUACCAUAUCAAAUCAGUCAGUUUUGCUGAAGACAUGUUUCUACAUAUUGGAGACUUAUAUUGGCAAAGUUUGCGGUAUACUGGUUAAGCCAAUAAUUAGUUAUAUUAUGUUUUAUUAGCCGAUAAAAGUUUAUUUUUAAAUUUUAGCUUUUAAACUGUUUUCAUCAUGUUUUCUCAAAGUAACUUAUUUUUUACUGCACGUAUAUAAGUGUUCUUUAUUGAAAUACAGUUGCUUCGUCCUGCAGUUUCUGUUGAUGCAAAUCAGUCAUCUGUGACAAGGAUCUUUUCAGUUAAGAUGGCUCAAAUAUGUGUUUACCUGAGCAAAUUACUUAAUAUUUCCAUGAUAAAACUGAAUGAAAACUUAUUUCAAUGCUCUAAUACCAUAUCAAAUCAGUCAGUUUUGCUGAAAACAUGUUUCUACACAUUGGAGACUUAUAUUGGCAAAGUUUGGUGUAUACUGGUUAAGCCAAUAAUUAGUUACAUUGUGUUUUAUUAGCCGAUAAAAGGUUUAUUUUUAAAUUUUAGCUUUUAAACUGUUUUCAUCAUGUUUUCUCAAAGUAACUUAUUUUUUACUGCACAUAUAUAAGUGUUCUUUAUUGAAAUAUACUGUACUUGCUUCGUCCUGCAGUUUCUGUUGAUGCAAAUCAGUCAUCUGUGACAAGGAUCUUUUCAGUUAAGAUGGCUCAAAUAUGUGUUUACCUGAGCAAAUUACUUAAUAUUUCCAUGAUGAAACUGAAUGAAAACUUAUUUCAAUGCUCUAAUACCAUAUCAAAUCAGUCAGUUUUGCUGAAAACAUGUUUCUACACAUUGGAGACUUACAUUGGCAAAGUUUGGUGUAUACUGGUUAAGCCAAUAAUUAGUUACAUUGUGUUUUAUUGGCCGAUAAAAGGAUUAUUUUUAAAUUUUAGCUUUUAAACUGUUUUCAUCAUGUUUUCUCAAAGUAACUUAUUUUUUACUGCACAUAUAUAAGUGUUCUUUAUUGAAAUACUGUACUUGCUUCGUCCUGCAGUUUCUGUUGAUGCAAAUCAGUCAUCUGUGACAAGGAUCUUUUCAGUUAAGAUGGCUCAAAUAUGUGUUUACCUGAGCAAAUUACUUAAUAUUUCCAUGAUAAAACUGAAUGAAAACUUAUUUCAUUGCUCUAAUACCAUAUCAAAUCAGUCAGUUUUGCUGAAAUAAUGUUUCUACAUAUUGGAGACUUAUAUUGGCAAUGUUUGGUGUAUACUGGUUAAGCCAAUAAUUAGUUACAUUGUGUUUUAUUAGCCGAUAAAAGGUUUAUUUUUAAAUUUUAGCUUUUAAACUGUUUUCAUCAUGUUUUCUCAAAGUAACUUAUUUUUUACUGCACGUAUAUAAGUGUUCUUUAUUGAAAUACAGUUGCUUCGUCCUGCAGUUUCUGUUGAUGCAAAGUCAGUCAUCUGUGACAAGGAUCUUUUCAGUUAAGAUGGUUCAAAUAUGUGUUUACCUGAGCAAAUUACUUAAUAUUUCCAUGAUAAAACUGAAUGAAAACUUAUUUCAUUGCUCUAAUACCAUAUCAAAUCAGUCAGUUUUGCUGAAAUAAUGUUUCUACAUAUUGGAGACUUGUAUUGGCAAAGUUUGCGGUAUACUGGUUAAGCCAAUAAUUAGUUACAUUGCGUUUUAUUAGCCGAUAAAAGGUUUAUUUUUAAAUUUUAGCUUUUAAACUGUUUUCAUCAUGUUUUCUCAAAGUAACUUAUUUUGUACUGCACGUAUAUAAGUGUUCUUUAUUCAAAUACAGUUGCUUCGUCCUGCAGUUUCUGUUGAUGCAAAGUCAGUCAUCUGUGACAAGGAUCUUUUCAGUUAAGAUGGUUCAAAUAUGUGUUUACCUGAACAAAUUACUUAAUAUUUCCAUGAUAAAACUGAAUGAAAACUUAUUUCAUUGCUCUAAUACCAUAUCAAAUCAGUCAGUUUUGCUGAAAUAAUGUUUCUACAUAUUGGAGACUUAUAUUGGCAAAGUUUGGUGUAUACUGGUUAAGCCAAUAAUUAGUUACAUUGUGUUUUAUUAGCCGAUAAAAGGUUUAUUUUUAAAUUUUAGCUUUUAAACUGUUUUCAUCAUGUUUUCUCAAAGUAACUUAUUUUUUAUUGCACAUAUAUAAGUGUUCUUUAUUGAAACAUACUGCACUUGCUUCGUCCUGCAGUUUCUGUUGAUGCAAAUCAGUCAUCUGUGACAAUGAUCUUUCCAGUUAGGGUGGCUCAAAUACUGUGUGUUUACCUGAGCAAAUUACUUAAUAUUUCCAUGAUGAAACUGAAUGGAAACUUAUUUCAAUGCUCUAAUACCAUAUCAAAUCAGUCAGUUUUGCUGAAAACAUGUUUCUACAUAUUGGAGACUUAUAUUGGCAAAGUUUGGUGUACACUGGUUAAGCCAAUAAUUAGUUACAUUGCGUUUUAUUAGCCGAUAAAAGGUUUAUUUUUAAAUUUUAGCUUUUAAACUGUUUUCAUCAUGUUUUCUCAAAGUAACUUAUUUUUUACUGCACAUAUAUAAGUGUUCUUUAUUGAAAUAUACUGUACUUGCUUCGUCCUGCAGUUUCUGUUGAUGCAAAUCAGUCAUCUGUGAAAAGGAUCUUUUCAGUUAAUUUAAGAUGGCUCAAAUAUGUGUUUACCUGAGCAAAUUACUUAAUAUUUCCAUGAUAAAACUGAAUGAAAACUUAUUUCAAUGCUCUAAUACCAUAUCAAAUCAGUCAGUUUUGUUGAAAACAUGUUUCUACAUAUUGGAGACUUGUAUUGGCAAAGUUUGCGGUAUACUGGUUAAGCCAAUAAUUAGUUAUAUUGUGUUUUAUUAGCCGAUAAAAGGAUUAUUUUUAAAUUUUAGCUUUUAAACUGUUUUCAUCAUGUUUUCUCAAAGUAACUUAUUUUUUAUUGCACAUAUAUAAGUGUUCUUUAUUGAAACAUACUGCACUUGCUUCGUCCUGCAGUUUCUGUUGAUGCAAAUCAGUCAUCUGUGACAAUGAUCUUUCCAGUUAAGGUGGCUCAAAUACUGUAUGUGUUUACCUGAGCAAAUUACUUAAUAUUUCCAUGAUGAAACUGAAUGAAAACUUAUUUCAAUGCUCUAAUACCAUAUCAAAUCAGUCAGUUUUGCUGAAAACAUGUUUCUACAUAUUGGAGACUUGUAUUGGCAAAGUUUGGUGUAUACUGGUUAAGCCAAUAAUUAGUUACAUUGCGUUUUAUUAGCCGAUAAAAGGUUUAUUUUUAAAUUUUAGCUUUUAAACUGUUUUCAUCAUGUUUUCUCAAAGUAACUUAUUUUUUACUGCACGUAUAUAAGUGUUCUUUAUUGAAAUACAGUUGCUUCGUCCUGCAGUUUCUGUUGAUGCAAAGUCAGUCAUCUGUGACAAUGAUCUUUUCAGUUAAGGUGGCUCAAAUAUGUGUUUACCUGAGCAAAUUACUUAAUAUUUCCAUGAUAAAACUGAAUGAAAACUUAUUUCAAUGCUCUAAUACCAUAUCAAAUCAGUCAGUUUUGCUGAAAACAUGUUUCUACAUAUUGGAGACUUAUAUUGGCAAAGUUUGGUGUAUACUGGUUAAGCCAAUAAUUAGUUACAUUGUGUUUUAUUAGCCGAUAAAAGGUUUAUUUUUAAAUUUUAGCUUUUAAACUGUUUUCAUCAUGUUUUCUCAAAGUAACUUAUUUUUUACUGCACGUAUAUAAGUGUUCUUUAUUGAAAUACAGUUGCUUCGUCCUGCAGUUCCUGUUGAUGCAAAGUCAGUCAUCUGUGACAAGGAUCUUUUCUGUUAAGAUGGUUCAAAUAUGUGUUUACCUGAGCAAAUUACUUAAUAUUUCCAUGAUAAAACUGAAUGAAAACUUAUUUCAAUGCUCUAAUACCAUAUCAAAUCAGUCAGUUUUGCUGAAAACAUGUUUCUACACAUUGGAGACUUACAUUGGCAAAGUUUGGUGUAUACUGGUUAAGCCAAUAAUUAGUUACAUUGUGUUUUAUUGGCCGAUAAAAGGAUUAUUUUUAAAUUUUAGCUUUUAAACUGUUUUCAUCAUGUUUUCUCAAAGUAACUUAUUUUUUACUGCACAUAUAUAAGUGUUCUUUAUUGAAAUAUACUGUACUUGCUUCGUCCUGCAGUUUCUGUUGAUGCAAAUCAGUCAUCUGUGAAAAGGAUCUUUUCAGUUAAUUUAAGAUGGCUCAAAUAUGUGUUUACCUGAGCAAAUUACUUAAUAUUUCCAUGAUAAAACUGAAUGAAAACUUAUUUCAAUGCUCUAAUACCAUAUCAAAUCAGUCAGUUUUGUUGAAAACAUGUUUCUACAUAUUGGAGACUUGUAUUGGCAAAGUUUGCGGUAUACUGGUUAAGCCAAUAAUUAGUUAUAUUGUGUUUUAUUAGCCGAUAAAAGGAUUAUUUUUAAAUUUUAGCUUUUAAACUGUUUUCAUCAUGUUUUCUCAAAGUAACUUAUUUUUUACUGCACGUAUAUAAGUGUUCUUUAUUGAAAUACAGUUGCUUCGUCCUGCAGUUUCUGUUGAUGCAAAGUCAGUCAUCUGUGACAAGGAUCUUUUCAGUUAAGAUGGUUCAAAUAUGUGUUUACCUGAGCAAAUUACUUAAUAUUUCCAUGAUAAAACUGAAUGAAAACUUAUUUCAAUGCUCUAAUACCAUAUCAAAUCAGUCAGUUUUGCUGAAAUAAUGUUUCUACAUAUUGGAGACUUGUAUUCGCAAAGUUUGGUGUAUACUGGUUAAGCCAAUAAUUAGUUACAUUGUGUUUUAUUAGCCGAUAAAAGGUUUAUUUUUAAAUUUUAGCUUUUAAACUGUUUUCAUCAUGUUUUCUCAAAGUAACUUAUUUUUUAUUGCACAUAUAUAAGUGUUCUUUAUUGAAACAUACUGCACUUGCUUCGUCCUGCAGUUUCUGUUGAUGCAAAUCAGUCAUCUGUUGUUUGUUUUUUAGAAUUGGAUCAAAAAGGUGGUUGCAGGUAUUCAGAUCCUGGAAUGCUGUGAAAUGGCCCUGCUGGACCUGUUGGAACAUUCUAUUGGGUGAACAUCAAAUGAUGUGUGGAGUGAAAUGAAAUGAAAUUUCGAUUCAGUGUGACUGAUAGAAUUGGAAUGGUAUAGAUAAUGAUGAUUUUAGUGAAUUAUGUUAUAUGAUGAUGCAUGGACUGUGAUGAUGUUGGUGAAGCUUGAUUUAUAACAUAGAUAUAAAGUGAUGAUACUGGUGAUAUAUGAGUUGUAAAUUGAUAUGAAAUAUAAGUGAUACAUAAGUCUGACUACUUCUUAAUUAAUAGUCGAGGAACUACAUACCAGCACAAAUGGGAACCGAACUUUGUUAUUCACAAAGAAACUAUACUAAAAUGUGUUCGCAAUUAAAAGUUAUUUUGUUAUUGUUGGAAUAUAGGCUGAUUUACACUAUCAAGGUUUCUGAGAUUUGAUUUUGAAUUAGAAGGAUUUGUUAGAAAUGUUUCAGGGAAUUUUAGAAACGUUACGGACUAACGCCCGUAUUCUAAAAGCUCACUCACACUCAGAGUGGACAUUCAAUCUGAGCUUCUCUCGAGUGUCAAUGCUGUUUUUGAAUCGCUGGAGGGUUAGUGUCGUACCUUACUACGUGACUACUAACCAUCCAGCUAUUCCGGAUUCAACCUCCGCUCAUUGUGUGUGAGUGAGCUUUUAGAAUACGGGCGUUAGUGUUUAUCACUGACCCAGUUUCGUCAAACAUUUCUUACAAAUGCUUCAAAAACUUAGAAUUCAGCUAUGCAAAAUUCCUACUGUGAUCACGGAAACUUUGAUAGUGUAAAACCCGUCCUUAUCGUUCUGUUAUAGUUAACAAAACAAUGACAUUUUAUCGCACUGUCCUUCAGCAGUAAUAGUGUCAGUACUUGUUAUAUAAUUAGAGAGGUUCAGAUUUGACUUCCAAUACCCGACUUACUACUGUACUACCUCUUCACUGGCGUAGUACAAAUUUGAUUGGUUUAUGGCUCCUUAUAAAGGUAGUGGCAGUGCAAGUCAUAUCUGAAACUCUUUCAAAAUUUUCCUAAAAAUGUGGUGACAUUUAAAAGUUAUUUCGCUAUAGUAUAAAAUAUCGUUUUGUUAUAUAGUUGACAAAGCAGUGACAUUUAUUGCAUUGUUGUACAGUAGUAACAGUACCUAUAGGUAUUAUAUUCUUAGGGAGGUUCACAUUUGACUUCCAAUACCACUACCUUCACUGGCUUAGACUUAAUACACAUCUGAUUGGUUAGCAGUCAUUAACGGUAGUGGUAAUGGUAGUGAAAGUCGAAUAUGAACCUUUCUAUAAAUAGUCGAGGAACUACAAUAAUCAAAAUCAAGUGGCGACAAUUAAAAAGUUAUUUUGUUAUAUUUAAAACAUGGUUGUGUUAUUAUAGUUGAAAAAAACAGUGACCUCUGAUUGCGUCUGGAGCCAUCAUGCAUCUUUUAUAAUCGGGUAGUAUAAAGAAGAAUUAUCAGAUCAAUAAGCUUUACACAUAUAGAUAAAUUUAAGACUGUACAAUCAAUUUUUCUCUAGGGGCCAGUUGUUCAAAGCUGGAUUAGCUUAACCCUAGGUUAACCUAAAAUUCAAAGCACACUUCCUGACAGCUUGUCUAUAUAAAUUUGGAAAUAUUUCUUCAGAGAUCUUGUCUGGAUCGAUAGGACUGGAGUUUUCUUCUCUGAAGUUUUGAAAUAAACAGACGCGUAGAAAUACACCUACUAAAACAGCAGGCUAAAUUUUAACCCAGGGUUAGCGUUAGUCCAGCAUUGAACAACCGACCCCUGGAGCAGAGUAAUUACAUUUACUAUAACCUACGCUUAUUUAAAAUUUCCUACUAUUAUAUUAUGUUUAUAUACAUGGCCAGAAAUAAAUAAGGAGUACCUAAAAGUCAUUAAUUGUUAAUGUCAAGUCUCAAUCAGCUGGUUUGCUUUUAGUUCAAGCCCCACAGCAUUUGUCCUGUAUCGUGUACUGCAUAGCAGUUGUCUUUCCAUAGACUGUAUCAUCCAGAACAAAAGCUGAAAAUAUAGGAAUUGAUAAAAUCAGAUUUAUUUAAUUUAGAUUUAUUGGCAUUGAGACAGCACAAAUAAUCUACUAAAUAGUUUUAGGCCAAACAGGGGAUGCUCUUAGGGUGGCCAUUAGCCUGCGAACAGGCUCUCAAGCUGAAUUGAGAGCCUGCAUCGAUGACUAAUGAAUUUGAAUAUCUGCGUCUCAAAUUGUGACGCGAAAUUCUCAUUGGUCAGAUGCUAUAAUUUAUAUGUUUCCGCUGAGCUCUAUAUAUGUCAACUGCUGAAUAAAAAAACACAUUAACUGUUCGUAUUGGUCUUGGCCGUCUUAUCUCAAAGCACGAAAUGUUCUGUUUUGAGAAAACAGUAUUUAAAACAUUUGAACUUUUGCUUGAAUAUCUUAUAUUUCGAAAAAUAGUAUAAACUGUACGGUCUAAAUUUAGUUUGCACGGUCUAAAUUUAGUUUGCACGAAAGUUGUAAACAACACCAUAUAAGGAUAGACAUUCCAUAUUUGGAAAAACGAACGUUACGGGGCAGAUAUUCAAAUUCAUUAAUCAUCGAUGCAGGCUCUCAAUUCAGCUUGAGAGUCUGUUCGCAGGCUAGGUGGCCAUGUCUAAUUGGUUACCAGGUAUAUAUUGGCUUAAUUAACCAUCUACUAGAUUACAUUCGAUUUAAUUAAUACUAUUUUUGUAAAGUAUGUUACAGGAGACAUCGGGGCUUACUAAUUAGGACAAAGAAAUCACCGGACACUAAUAUUUUUAUCUGUAGUUUGCAAAGAGUUUGGAACAAUUUUUCAUACCCAGUUCGUGGCAUUAGUUUUGUACAGUACUAGCUAUAUAAUACUUUUGUUUGAGGAAACAGCAUGUAACUACAUAUGGUGUUUCCACAAACAAAAUUAUUAUAUGAGCAGGUGACGUCAUCCCUUGGGUAUUUAGGAAGCCACGAUUGCAGUUUUAGAUCACCCCUGAUGAAGACACUCGACUGGAGUGUCGAAACGUUGGGUCUUGGUUACAAUUCGACUGGGCUUUAUUUAAACCAGAGUAGCGAGCGAAACAUGAUUGAUAUACCUGGUUGCAGUGAACGAACUAACUUUAAAAGUAUAACUUGUUUGUUUCAAAGUUGAUUUAAUAUUUAACAAAUGUUUGUGUCAUCUGUGCUGCCGUAAUUGAUGUAGAAUAUCAUUCUCAUGCAUGUACAUUUAUAAAAAAAAUUAAAUAUUUACAAGAAAAAAAAGAAAACCCUACAUACCCUGCCUAAAUUUUUGCACAUGAGAAAUAGAAACCCGGGCAUUUCUUUUUUUGGACUUAGUAUGAAGCAUGGAAAGGUAGGUAAAAUUGUUUGGUAUCAGACAGAGUAAAUUAACAAGACAGACUAAAUUAUGAUAUUUGCUGUGUCGGUGUAAUGUACUCAGGUCUGUACGCUUGUCACACAAGCAUCUUAUUCACCUGUCAUGAGUACAUUACACCAACACAGCAAAUAUCAUGAUUAUCAGAUUACACUGAUAUCGAAGGAACUAGACUCAGUUCCAAAAUAUCGCAUACUCGAACCGACCUGACCGCGUAGCUCAGUUGGCAGAGAAUUGGGCUAGUAUUCCAAAGGUCGUAGGUUCAAAUUCCAUUGAGGAACUUGAUUCCCCUAGCAAUUUGCAAGGUUGAAAAUGCGGGUCAGUGGUUGAAAAACAUCGCCUUCCUCUGGAAUACCAAGGUUCCUCAACAGGGGUGUGUGGCCAUGGAUAAAAAUUGGAAUAGUAUCCCAAAUUAGUAAGAUACAAUUGUAUAGACUAAGACCAGGUUGAAUUUGUAAGUGAACUGUUGAGCUAAAGUUUUAUUUUGGAGGACAGUAAUUAAAAAUUGCUAUGUGGAACAUGGAUCAGUCAUCUACAAGCAAUUAUUAUAGUAAUUGUCUUAUCCAGAAAUACCCCAGAUUUUCAGUAUUUUAUCUCCAGAAAUAAGAGAUCAAUCUCAAGAAAUUUUCUAUCAGAUCUCCAGAUUCAUUGCGAUUGGAGGUUGGCAGGUCUGAUUUCGAUAAAUUUCUUCACCAUGUAAGACAUGUAAAUGUGCUUUCAAAUUUUUAGCAAAAAAAUUUGAAACGACGCUAUCCCAUGACACCUUGCGCUCCGCAACUUAAACUAGGCACCAGGCCUCCAGGCAAUGCGCGAACUAUUGCUUCAGUACUUUCUCUACGAAUAUAAGGAAUAUUUGCAAAUGUUUUCUAUCAAUUACUGACUGGUAAUUAAUUUAUUUAUAAUAAAUUCUUGGAAAAUGAAAAUUCUCUACAAUGAUUCAAUAAAACAUGGAAAGAACUCAACUUUAGAAAUUAAAUUAGAAUGUAGUUAUAUGGUAUCAGGGAUGAUGGAAAGGGGGUGGGGCAAGGUCUCCUUUCCUAAAGGGGGCAAAUGUAGCAUUUUGGUAUAAAUAAAACACAAUAUUUUUGUCCCAAAUUUACUUAAAGUGGAAGUCAAAUCCGUUCUGCACAUCGGUUCUGCUCAUAACAAUGUGAGGACCUCUGAUGUAGACAUUGCCCAAAUUUCGAAUGUUUCGAAUUUUUCUGAACAUAUUAAAACUCUAUUUCAUAUUUAUUUAGAAGCAUAGCGAACCAAAAUAGUGUUAGAUAUUCAGACAGUACAUCAUAUUUUAAAAAAUACAGCAGUUCAAAAUGUAAACAAACCGUUUGUUUACAUACGGACUUGACUUCCACUUUAAAUAACAAAUUAAUUAACAAAGAUAAAUAUGAUAGAAGAUAAUUUGUAUACUUAAUUAGCUAUUUCCCAAAGUCCUGGGUCUAGGUGCACAAAUCCCUUGUUGGAGGGACAACAAAUAUGGCAGCACACAUUUAAAUUAAAGUUUAAUGUAAAAAGGAGAUAUUUCAUUUUUAGUCGUGUAAAAAGUUGAUAUUUGAUAGUAGAUACUUCUACUCUUUCACAUAUUUGAUGUCUGUCUCCAUAUAUUUUGUCCCUCCUAUACUAUAAUAUGUACAAAAACUAACCCAUAGCCUCCUCAGAAAAAUACAUAAAAUCGCUUAAAUAUGCAAUAUAUAAUCUGGUUUGAUAGUAUUCUACUUUGAAACAUCUUUAGUUAUUUUGUACUGCAUCACUGAAGUAUAAAAACCCCGUCACAACAGCAUAUGUUCUCAAUACAAGGAACAAAGGUUACAAAUCAGAAACAAAUUAUAGGUUACCUAAAGGAACCAAUGUUACAAAUAGUAACAGGCUAAGUUACGUUAAGGAACCAAUGUUACAAAAAGGAACAGGCUAAGUUACGUUAAGGAACCAAUGUUACAAAAAGGAACAGGCUAAGUUACGUUAAGGAACCAAUGUUACAAAAAGGAACAGGCUAAGUUACCUAAAGGAACCAGUGUUACAAAAAGGAACAAGCAAAGUUACCUAAAGGAACAGGCUAAGUUACUUAAAGGACACUAAGUUACAAAAAGGACCUGAUGGUCCUUUGUGUAACAAGUUUGGUUACACAAGGGCACCAGCAAGUUACACAAAGGAUCAUCGAUAUAACAGUCAGUCAGUCAGUCAGUCAGUCAGUCAGUCAGUCAGUC
This is a non-coding RNA of Paramuricea clavata, 14277 nucleotides long. Lineage: Eukaryota; Metazoa; Cnidaria; Anthozoa; Malacalcyonacea; Plexauridae. The record is from the annotation of a GenBank genome assembly.